CUAUUUAUAACGGCGGCAUUUAUUCUUAUUAGAGGAACUUGUUUUUUAAUCGAUAAUCCCCGAUAAUUUUCACUUUUUUACAAAAUUUAUAUACCGCCAUCUAAAGAAUUAAUUUUAUAAUAUUAUUCCAAAUAAAAAAUAAAAAGUUAGGUCAAGGUGUAAUCUAUAUCUAAGACAAAAAUGAGUUACAUUAAAAAUAAUUUAAGAAUAUCGUUAUAUUAAAACAAUUGAAAAAGGAUUUAAAAGUAAUAUCAAAAUAAUAUUUUAUUAUGAAUUAGACAAA
This 283-nucleotide ribosomal RNA is filed under the name Thaumasia velox. Its description in RNAcentral is "partial 12S ribosomal RNA". The record is from RNAcentral. Lineage: Eukaryota; Metazoa; Arthropoda; Arachnida; Araneae; Pisauridae.